Molecule: long non-coding RNA, 219 nt
Filed under: Lathyrus oleraceus (garden pea)
Lineage: Eukaryota; Viridiplantae; Streptophyta; Magnoliopsida; Fabales; Fabaceae
Description: Pisum sativum (pea) long non-coding RNA (PSAT_LNC032244)
Source: RNAcentral
CAUGAUGGCUUGGAUCGGAAAUGAGUAUGGUGACACCAUUGCUACUGUGACUUGGAAUAAAUGGGGGAUAUAACAACCCCAUUGCUCUUGAGUGCCAAGCCAUCUUGAAUAUGGCCAUUCUUGCAAAGAAGGUGAAAGUUCGGGAUCUGGAGAUAAAAACUGACUACAAAAGUAUAGUGGAGAUGAUUGAUAGAAAGAGGGUAAGUUGAACUAGGUUUG